RNAcentral lists this ribosomal RNA (528 nucleotides) under uncultured bacterium. Its description in RNAcentral is "bacterial SSU rRNA". It matches the Rfam family "Bacterial small subunit ribosomal RNA", at positions 777 to 1304 of the family's 1533-position model. The record is from RNAcentral.
AAUAGAUACCCUGGUAGUCCACACCGUAAACGUUGGGCGCUAGGUGUGGGUCUCAUUCCACGAGAUCCGUGCCGCAGCUAACGCAUUAAGCGCCCCGCCUGGGGAGUACGGCCGCAAGGCUAAACUCAAAGGAAUUGACGGGGGCCCGCACAAGCGGCGGAGCAUGCGGAUUAAUUCGAUGCAACGCGAAGAACCUUACCUAGGUUUGACAUAUACGAGAAGCCUCUAGAGAUAGAGGUCUCUUUGGACACUCGUAUACAGGUGGUGCAUGGCUGUCGUCAGCUCGUGUCGUGAGAUGUUGGGUUAAGUCCCGCAACGAGCGCAACCCUCGUCUUAUGUUGCCAGCACGUAAUGGUGGGGACUCAUAAGAGACUGCCGGGGUCAACUCGGAGGAAGGUGGGGAUGACGUCAAGUCAUCAUGCCCCUUAUGCCUAGGGCUUCACGCAUGCUACAAUGGCCGGUACAAAGGGCUGCGAUACCGCAAGGUGGAGCGAAUCCCAAAAAGCCGGUCUCAGUUCGGAUUGGGGU